AACGUAGGUUCCGAGCGUUAUCCGGAUUUACUGGGCGUAAAGCGCGUUCAGGCGGUUUGGCAAGUCGGGCAUGAAAUCUCUCGGCUCAACCGGGAGAGGUUGUCCGAUACUUCCAGACUUGAGGGCAGUAGAGGGUGGUGGAAUUCCGGGUGUAGCGGUGAAAUGCGUAGAUAUCUGGAGGAACACCGGUGGCGAAGGCGGCAUCCUGGACCAACACUGACACUGAGGAGCGAAAGCCAGGGGAGCAAACGGG
RNAcentral lists this ribosomal RNA (253 nucleotides) under uncultured bacterium. RNAcentral describes it as "partial 16S ribosomal RNA". It matches the Rfam family "Bacterial small subunit ribosomal RNA", at positions 524 to 776 of the family's 1533-position model. The record is from RNAcentral.